UGGGUUGUGGCUCAGAGGUGGAGCACUCGCCUACCAUGUGCGAGGCUCUGGGUUCAAUCCUCAGCACCACAU
Molecule: transfer RNA, 72 nt
Filed under: Marmota marmota marmota (Alpine marmot)
Lineage: Eukaryota; Metazoa; Chordata; Mammalia; Rodentia; Sciuridae
Also listed under: 1 other name
Rfam family: tRNA
About the family: Transfer RNA (tRNA) molecules are approximately 80 nucleotides in length. Their secondary structure includes four short double-helical elements and three loops (D, anti-codon, and T loops). Further hydrogen bonds mediate the characteristic L-shaped molecular structure. tRNAs have two regions of fundamental functional importance: the anti-codon, which is responsible for specific mRNA codon recognition, and the 3' end, to which the tRNAs corresponding amino acid is attached (by aminoacyl-tRNA synthetases). tRNAs cope with the degeneracy of the genetic code in two manners: having more than one tRNA (with a specific anti-codon) for a particular amino acid; and 'wobble' base-pairing, i.e. permitting non-standard base-pairing at the 3rd anti-codon position.
Source: Rfam by way of RNAcentral